RNAcentral lists this long non-coding RNA (675 nucleotides) under Oryctolagus cuniculus (rabbit). Its description in RNAcentral is "lncRNA (ENSOCUG00000032005.1)". The record is from RNAcentral. Lineage: Eukaryota; Metazoa; Chordata; Mammalia; Lagomorpha; Leporidae.
GUUUAAAAUCUACUUGGUUAGAAUACAUGCUUUGAUUUAUCUACAAAUUGAUCAAAUGUACACAUAUUUUAAGCAACAUGAUUAUUAUACGUAUAUUUUUUGAGAUAUUGCUAUCAACACUAUAAAAGAUAUGAGUGAUAUCGCCUUUCUAUUUACAGAAAAUGGUUCCCAUUACAGAUAUCCUUUAAGAAAACACUGUAUAUAUUCCUCCUCUCUGGAAAAAGGCAUGGGAUUCAAUAUGGAUAUAACUGUGUUGCAAAGUAUAAUUUUACAGAGAUACAACAAAAACAAAAGCAAGAAGAGGAUCAUGUAUUGGACAUGCACAAGGCAAGUUUUCUUGUAUUCUUAUGUUAGGAAAAAUGAGCCUGUGUCAAAAUAUGUUCAUUUUUAUAUUAGAAUUUCAAGAGAAGGUGGUUUUAAUUAUAUGAGGGAGAUUAGAAUGUUUCAUUUGAGACGGAAUCAUGAAAGAGGAAAGUCUUUGUUCCACUUGUGUACAUAUCUACCCUGGAAGACGUCUCCAUGGACUACCUCUUAUUUGUUAAAGUCUUCAGCUAUGUUACCUUCAUAUUGACGUAUGACUUACGGCGAAUGAUGCUCUCCUUUAAGAAAAGCAAUGUUCAAAACAUUUUCCAAAAAACACAUUAGUCAUUGCAAAUAAAGUACAGAGAGUUGUCA